Molecule: long non-coding RNA, 87 nt
Organism: Oryctolagus cuniculus (rabbit)
Lineage: Eukaryota; Metazoa; Chordata; Mammalia; Lagomorpha; Leporidae
Rfam family: Deleted in lymphocytic leukemia 2 conserved region 2
Source: Rfam
CUCUGUCUUCUACAAACUCAACUCGUACUCCAGGUACCAGACUGGAGAUGCUUGGCAUCAGUAUUAGACACUAACUUAAAAAAUAAA